CUCCUACGGGAGGCAGCAGUAGGGAAUCUUCCGCAAUGGACGAAAGUCUGACGGAGCAACGCCGCGUGAGUGAAGAAGGUUUUCGGAUCGUAAAACUCUGUUGUUAGGGAAGAACAAGUGCCGUUCGAAUAGGGCGGCACCUUGACGGUACCUAACCAGAAAGCCACGGCUAACUACGUGCCAGCAGCCGCGGUAAUACGUAGGUGGCAAGCGUUGUCCGGAAUUAUUGGGCGUAAAGCGCGCGCAGGUGGUUUCUUAAGUCUGAUGUGAAAGCCCACGGCUCAACCGUGGAGGGUCAUUGGAAACUGGGGAACUUGAGUGCAGAAGAGGAAAGUGGAAUUCCAAGUGUAGCGGUGAAAUGCGUAGAUAUUUGGAGGAACACCAGUGGCGAAGGCGACUUUCUGGUCUGUAACUGACACUGAGGCGCGAAAGCGUGGGGAGCAAACAGGAUUAGAUACCCUGGUAGUCCACGCCGUAAACGAUGAGUGCUAAGUGUUAGAGGGUUUCCGCCCUUUAGUGCUGCASSUAACGCAUUAAGCACUCCGCCUGGGGAGUACGGUCGCAAGACUGAAACUCAAAGGAAUUGACGG
RNAcentral lists this ribosomal RNA (590 nucleotides) under Bacillus sp. SAM5. RNAcentral describes it as "bacterial SSU rRNA". It matches the Rfam family "Bacterial small subunit ribosomal RNA", at positions 336 to 916 of the family's 1533-position model. The record is from RNAcentral. Lineage: Bacteria; Bacillati; Bacillota; Bacilli; Caryophanales; Bacillaceae.